AAGUCGUAACAAGGUUUCCGUAGGUGAACCUGCGGAAGGAUCAUUAACACGUAUCCAACGUUAAACCCCCCUGUGAACCUUGUAAAUCAGUCCGAGAAAAGUUUUUGAUUCAGGACCUCUGUCUAAAAGGAUGCAAUCGAGCGCUGGAGCAAGUGGCUUGGUUUCCCCAAGCAGUUAGUAUUCUGAAAGUGUUGCUAAUUGUGCAAGGAUAACGCUUUACGAUUGCUGUAGGCCGAACACCGGCCGGCGACUCGGUCACCGGGCUCACGCCCCCUAGCUCACAAACCCAAGUUAUCUAUAACGGACGCCUCCACAGCAAGUGCGCCGGAGCUUACGUCCAAAACCGAACAACUGUUAACAAUGGAUAUCUUGGUUCUC
This 378-nucleotide unclassified non-coding RNA is filed under the name fungal sp. RNAcentral describes it as "partial internal transcribed spacer region". The stretch from base 1 to 46 matches the Rfam family "Eukaryotic small subunit ribosomal RNA", at positions 1786 to 1831 of the family's 1831-position model. Lineage: Eukaryota; Fungi. The record is from RNAcentral.